RNAcentral lists this ribosomal RNA (138 nucleotides) under Salmonella enterica subsp. enterica serovar Infantis. RNAcentral describes it as "partial 16S ribosomal RNA". It matches the Rfam family "Bacterial small subunit ribosomal RNA", at positions 1 to 134 of the family's 1533-position model. Lineage: Bacteria; Pseudomonadati; Pseudomonadota; Gammaproteobacteria; Enterobacterales; Enterobacteriaceae. RNAcentral also lists the same sequence under 5 other names. The record is from RNAcentral.
AAAUUGAAGAGUUUGAUCAUGGCUCAGAUUGAACGCUGGCGGCAGGCCUAACACAUGCAAGUCGAACGGUAGCACAGAGAGCUUGCUCUCGGGUGACGAGUGGCGGACGGGUGAGUAAUGUCUGGGAAACUGCCUGAU